This 245-nucleotide unclassified non-coding RNA is filed under the name plant metagenome. Its description in RNAcentral is "partial contains small subunit ribosomal RNA, internal transcribed spacer 1, and 5.8S ribosomal RNA". The stretch from base 1 to 54 matches the Rfam family "Eukaryotic small subunit ribosomal RNA", at positions 1778 to 1831 of the family's 1831-position model. The record is from RNAcentral.
GGAGGUAAAAGUCGUAACAAGGUUUCCGUAGGUGAACCUGCGGAAGGAUCAUUAUCAUGUAAUUCAGUCCCCUUGGCUGUGUUAUAUAUAUACCCACUCUGUGUACCUUCUCCUGUUGCUUCCGCUGGGUGUGUAAUUCGCCCGGCGGAAGGGUAAAAAUAACCUCUGAGUAUUGAUGAAAUCUCUGUCUGAACCGAAUAGAAAGAAAAAUGUUAAAACUUUCAGCAACGGAUCUCUUGGUUCUC